Molecule: ribosomal RNA, 459 nt
Filed under: uncultured bacterium
Lineage: Bacteria
Description: partial 16S ribosomal RNA
Rfam family: Bacterial small subunit ribosomal RNA
Source: RNAcentral
CCUACGGGAGGCAGCAGUGAGGACUAUUGGUCAAUGGGCGCGAGCCUGAACCAGCCAAGUAGCGUGAGGGAAGACUGUCCUAUGGAUUGUAAACCUCUUUUGUAGAGGAGCAAACGACGCCACGCGUGGCGUUCCGUGAGUACCCGAAGAAAAAGCAUCGGCUAACUCCGUGCCAGCAGCCGCGGUAAUACGGAGGGAGCGAGCGUUACCCGGAAUUACGGGGUGUAAAGGGAGCGUAGGGGGGUGUGCAAGUUGGGUGUCAAAAUUACGGGCUAAACGUGUAGUCGAACUCAAAAAUGCAGCGCUUGAGUGAAGUAGAGGCAGGCGGAAUUCGUAGUGUAGCGGUGAAAUGCUUAGAUAUUAGGAGGAACACCAGUUGCGAAGGCGGCCUGCUGGGCUUUUACUGACGUUGAGGCUCGAAAGUGUGGGGAGCAAACAGGAUUAGAUACCCUAGUAGUC